GACGCUGGCGGCGUGCUUAACACAUGCAAGUCGAACGAUGAAGUUUAGUUUACUAAACAGAUUAGUGGCGCACGGGUGAGUAAUAUAUAGAUAAUCUGCCUCUUAGUCUGGGAUAGCCAUUGGAAACGAUGAUUAAUACUAGAUACUCCUUCUCUUUAUAAUAAGAGUUGGGAAAGGAACAUCUUUAUGGUGUUUCGCUAAGAGAUGAGUCUAUAUCCCAUCAGCUUGUUGGUAGUGUAAGAGACUACCAAGGCAAUGACGGGUAGCGGGUUUGAGAGGAUGAUCCGCCACACUGGUACUGAGACACGGACCAGACUCCUACGGGAGGCAGCAGUGAGGAAUAUUGCACAAUGGAGGAAACUCUGAUGCAGCAACGCCGCGUGGAGGAUGACGCAUUUCGGUGUGUAAACUCCUUUUAUCAAGGAAGAAAAUGACGGUACUUGAUGAAUAAGCACCGGCUAACUCCGUGCCAGCAGCCGCGGUAAUACGGAGGGUGCAAGCGUUAUUCGGAAUCACUGGGCGUAAAGGACGCGUAGGCGGGAAGCCAAGUCUGAUGUGAAAUCCUAUGGCUUAACCAUAGAACUGCAUUGGAAACUGGUUACCUAGAGUAUGGGAGGGGGAGAUGGAAUUAGUAGGUGUAGGGGUAAAAUCCGUAGAUAUUACUAGGAAUACCGAAAGCGAAGGCGAUCUCCUGGAACAAUACUGACGCUAASGCGUGAAAGCGUGGGGAGCAAACGGGAUUAGAUACCCCGGUAGUCCACGCCCUAAACGAUGUUCACUAGUCGUCGGAAUGCUAGUCAUUUCGGUGAUGCACUUAACAGAUUAAGUGAACCGCCUGGGGAGUACGGUCGCAA
Molecule: ribosomal RNA, 854 nt
Filed under: uncultured bacterium
Lineage: Bacteria
Description: bacterial SSU rRNA
Rfam family: Bacterial small subunit ribosomal RNA
Source: RNAcentral